This is a non-coding RNA of Podarcis lilfordi (Lilford's wall lizard), 1951 nucleotides long. The record is from the annotation of a GenBank genome assembly. NCBI's taxonomy places the organism in Eukaryota, Metazoa, Chordata, Lepidosauria, Squamata, Lacertidae.
GGCAGCCCCCUAUGGUGUCUCUGUGUGCGCAGAGCCCCUGCUUUGAAUGCAGAAGGUCUCAGGUUCAAUUUGUGGCAGCGUCUCCAGGUAGGAGAAUGAUUCCUGCCUACAAUCCUGGAGAACAUUGUUGGCAUCCAUCUCAAGAGACAAUGGAGUGCACUUCUGGGGGUGAAGUCAAAAGGCUGCGUUAGCAGCACCAAGGUAACCUCCCCAGGGUGCAAGCCUGGGCAGCGUGUAGGGAGGUUCUGGGCUGCCCAGAUGACAAGACCCCCGUCUUGGCCUCGCUGAUGUGGUCCAAAGGAAAGCAGAGCAAUAUGUUUGGCACCAACUUGGCUGCAGGAGGUAGGUGUACAUGGCGUCACUCAACUUUGGGACUCCACUCGGGAUUUGUGUUGGGUUUACUCCAUAGCUAUUUCUUCUCCUGAAGAUAUCCCACAAGGCAGGGGAGGUUUAGGAUCAGAGUUUUCCUUCUCCUCGAUGGGCUACCUUCCCACGUUGACGAAUCCCAUCUGCCCUUCACUUCCCUCCUCAGCACAUACAGAAAUGAUCUUCUUCUUCUCCAAUUUUUUAAAAUUGAUUUUCACAACAUUAUAAACAAACACAUAAAACAAACAAACAUAAAUCAUAACCUUAUUAAAAAUUACACUUAUUAACAUUAUUAAGUGACUUCCUCACUUCCCCUUGGUUGAAUUUCAUUGCAUGUCCUUUUAACGGUUUUCCAAAUCAUAGUUCUUAAAAUAAUUUACCGGUAACUUAAACAUUGACAUCUUCUUGAUCAUUGGACCCACUAUUGGUCUCAUCUGCCAGAGCAUGUCUUUGCAUGUAGGGGAAGUCGCCAACUGUGGAGUUUGUACAGAGCUCCCGGUCAUUUCCCAGACUAUUGACUUGUACACCACUACUUUAUUCUUCUGCUGCCACCAAUUUUGUGGGGGGAAACCCAGGGCUCUCCAGUGAAGUACUGAGUCUUAGUCAGGUAAAGUUAACAAUGAAGAUUAAAUUUUAUUUCAAACACAAACGAGUUUUAAAAUAUAUUCAAAAUGCUGCCACUCUAUUCCCUCUCAGGCUUGUCCCUGUCUCUAACUCACUCUGACUCCUCUAUCCCCCCCUCCCCCAAAGAGAACCAACAGAACUAACUGUCAAAUCCUCUGGGCUGAGCCUCAAAAUCAGGUAGGCUCCGCCUCCGGGCUUUCUUAUUGGUCAACCUAUUAACCCUUUAGGGACGCGGGUGGUGCUGUGGGUUAAACCACAGAGCCUAGGACUUGCCGAUCAGGCCAGAAGGUUGGCAGUUUGAAUCCCCGCGACGGGGUGAGCUCCUGUUGCUUGGUCCCUGCUCCUGCCAACCUAGCAGUUCAAAAGCACGUCAAAAGUGCAAGUAGAUAAAUAGGUAUCGCUCCGGCGGGAAGGUAAACAGAAUUUCUGUGCACUGCUCUGGUUCACCAGAAGCGGCUUAGUCAUGCUGGCCACAUGAUCCAGAAGCUGUACGCCGGCUCCCUCGGCCAAUAAAGUGAAAUGAGUGCCGCAACCCCAGAGUCGGCCACGACUGGACUUAAUGGUCAGGGGUCCCGUUACCUUAUUAACCCUUUGUCUCCCCCAACACAAACGUAUCCCCAAAGAAUGGGCAAACGCCACACCAACUCACCAAGGUUUUGAGACCCAUCAGCUACCCUCACCUGGUUUAGCCAGCCAAUCAAAGCCUUUCCCGGGGUGUGGCUACCGUUGCAUGCUGACAGCUUCUGGGAGCCACAGGUGAGAGCUGAGUGUAAGGCGAGGACAAAAAAUGGACAGAUUACCCCAGAAGGAGCACAAUAUGCCUCCCCUCUAGAGGUUCUACCCCCUCCCCUAACACCCUAUACACCCCUGCAGCAAGACAAUACAGACAGUAUUGAACUGGGUGGACCAAGGCAGCCUACUUUGUUCCUAUGGCAACCUCAAGGCAACAGCAAGAAUGGAC